GGUCUUGUGGUCUAGUGGUAUGAUUCUCGCUUAGGGUGCGAGAGGUCCCGGGUUCAAGCCCCGGCAAGGCCC
This is a non-coding RNA of Coemansia sp. S85, 72 nucleotides long. The record is from the annotation of a GenBank genome assembly. NCBI's taxonomy places the organism in Eukaryota, Fungi, Kickxellomycota, Kickxellomycetes, Kickxellales, Kickxellaceae.